Molecule: ribosomal RNA, 465 nt
Filed under: uncultured bacterium
Lineage: Bacteria
Description: partial 16S ribosomal RNA
Rfam family: Bacterial small subunit ribosomal RNA
Source: RNAcentral
GACGAACGCUGGCGGCGUGCUUAACACAUGCAAGUCGAACGGAAAGGCCCCUUUUGGGGUACUCGGGUGGCGGACGGGUGCGUAACACGUGAGUAACCUUCCCUUGACUUCGGGAUAAAUUCAGGAAAGUGGGGCUAAUACCGGAUAGGAAUCCUUUCUGCAUGGUGGGGGUUGGAAAGCUUCGGCGGUUUUGGUUGGACUCGCGGCUUAUCAGCUUGUUGGGGGGGUGGUGGCUUACCAAGGCUUUGACGGGUGGCCGGCCUGAGGGGGCGACCGGCCACAUUGGGACUGAGAUACGGCCCAGACUCCUACGGGAGGCAGCAGUGGGGAAUAUUGCACAAUGGGCGGAAGCCUGAUGCAGCAACGCCGCGUGCGGGAUGACGGCCUUCGGGUUGUAAACCGCUUUCAGCAGGGGCGAAGCUUGUGGUGACGGUACCUGCAGAAGAAGCACCGGCUAACUACGUG